Molecule: unclassified non-coding RNA, 343 nt
Filed under: fungal sp.
Lineage: Eukaryota; Fungi
Description: partial internal transcribed spacer region
Rfam family: Eukaryotic small subunit ribosomal RNA (bases 1-46)
Source: RNAcentral
AAGUCGUAACAAGGUUUCCGUAGGUGAACCUGCGGAAGGAUCAUUAACACGUUUCGUUCCGAACGUUUUUGACCCAUUCUUAUUUUCCGUGCACCAUUUCGCGUCCGGCCUCCCAGCCGCCCUCCGGGUUUACUCGGUUGCGCCUGUUGGGCGUCUUUGGGAUCAAAAGAAAAAUGCACUUUUAACGAAGUCUCUUUUCUGCCUUCCCUCUGGCGUUGCCACCUCACCCAAACCCUUUAAUCUAACUGAUCUGAACUUUUAGUUGAAAUAAAGCUCUUUAUUGAGUUUUUUUCCAACGACUUACAACAAAUAACAACUCUUAACAACGGAUAUCUUGGUUCUC